RNAcentral lists this ribosomal RNA (492 nucleotides) under uncultured bacterium. RNAcentral's name for it is "partial 16S ribosomal RNA". It matches the Rfam family "Bacterial small subunit ribosomal RNA", at positions 29 to 507 of the family's 1533-position model. The record is from RNAcentral.
AGUGAACGCUGGCGGUAGGCCUAACACAUGCAAGUCGAACGGCAGCACAGUAAGAGCUUGCUCUUACGGGUGGCGAGUGGCGGACGGGUGAGGAAUACAUCGGAAUCUACUUUUUCGUGGGGGAUAACGUAGGGAAACUUACGCUAAUACCGCAUACGACCUACGGGUGAAAGCAGGGGAUCUUCAGACCUUGCGCGAUUGAAUGAGCCGAUGUCGGAUUAGCUAGUUGGCGGGGUAAAGGCCCACCAAGGCGACGAUCCGUAGCUGGUCUGAGAGGAUGAUCAGCCACACUGGAACUGAGACACGGUCCAGACUCCUACGGGAGGCAGCAGUGGGGAAUAUUGGACAAUGGGCGCAAGCCUGAUCCAGCCAUACCGCGUGGGUGAAGAAGGCCUUCGGGUUGUAAAGCCCUUUUGUUGGGAAAGAAAAGCAGCAGGUUAAUACCCCGCUGUUCUGACGGUACCCAAAGAGUAAGCACCGGCUAACUUCGUG